Molecule: small nuclear RNA, 192 nt
Organism: Maylandia zebra (zebra mbuna)
Lineage: Eukaryota; Metazoa; Chordata; Actinopteri; Cichliformes; Cichlidae
Product: U2 spliceosomal RNA
Source: RefSeq, a predicted model, not a curated record
AGACCUAAAAAGAUACGCGGUAAAAAAAAAAAAUCUGUUCUUAUCAGUUUAAUAUCUGAUACGCCCCCGAUUUGGGGGCAACGUAUUAAACACAUUUUUAGAACAGGGAGCCGAAUUAGGGGCUCGCUCCGUUCGCUCCACGCUCUUAUCGAGACGUUCGCCGCUCUUACCAUCUCGAUAAGAGAUUCCAAU